UACGUAGGGUGCGAGCGUUAAUCGGAAUUACUGGGCGUAAAGGGUGCGCAGGCGGCGUCGCAAGUCAGGCGUGAAAUCCCCGGGCUUAACCUGGGAAUGGCACUUGAAACUACGAUGCUGGAGUAUGGCAGAGGGAGGUGGAAUUCCACGUGUAGCGGUGAAAUGCGUAGAGAUGUGGAGGAACACCGAUGGCGAAGGCAGCCUCCUGGGCCAAUACUGACGCUCAGGCACGAAAGCGUGGGGAGCAAACAGG
Molecule: ribosomal RNA, 253 nt
Filed under: uncultured bacterium
Lineage: Bacteria
Description: partial 16S ribosomal RNA
Rfam family: Bacterial small subunit ribosomal RNA
Source: RNAcentral